CCUACGGGUGGCAGCAGUGAGGAAUAUUGGUCAAUGGCCGGAAGGCUGAACCAGCCAUGCCGCGUGAAGGUCAGUGCCCUAUGGGCGUUAAACUUCUUUUGUGCGGGAGCAAUAAUGGUCACGUGUGGCCAGACGAGAGUACCGUACGAAUAAGCAUCGGCUAACUCCGUGCCAGCAGCCGCGGUAAUACGGGGGAUGCAAGCGUUAUCCGGAUUUAUUGGGUUUAAAGGGUGCGUAGGCUGUUAGGUAAGUCAGCGGUGAAAUGCCCCCGCUCAACGGGGUGAAGUGCCAUUGAUACUGCCUGGCUGGAAUGCGGAUGCGGUGGGAGGAAUGUGUGGUGUAGCGGUGAAAUGCAUAGAUAUCACACAGAACACCGAUUGCGAAGGCAUCUCACGAAUCCGCGAUUGACGCUGAUGCACGAAAGCGUGGGUAUCAAACAGGAUUAGAUACCCGAGUAGUC
RNAcentral lists this ribosomal RNA (460 nucleotides) under uncultured bacterium. RNAcentral describes it as "partial 16S ribosomal RNA". It matches the Rfam family "Bacterial small subunit ribosomal RNA", at positions 338 to 795 of the family's 1533-position model. The record is from RNAcentral.